Molecule: ribosomal RNA, 463 nt
Filed under: uncultured bacterium
Lineage: Bacteria
Description: bacterial SSU rRNA
Rfam family: Bacterial small subunit ribosomal RNA
Source: RNAcentral
GACGAACGCUGGCGGCGUGCCUAACACAUGCAAGUCAACUUGACUGAAGGAGCAAUCUGACAGUAGAGUGGCGCAAGGGUGCGUAACGCGUAAGUAACUUGCCCCAAGGUAAGGAAUAACGUCGAGAAAUCGGCGCUAAUACCCCACAAUGCAGCGGAUCCGCAUGGAUAUGUUGUUAAAGGUUUACCGCCUUGGGAUAGGCUUGCGUCUGAUUAGCUAGUUGGUGUGGUAACCGGCACACCAAGGCUACGAUCAGUAACUGGUCUGAGAGGAUGAUCAGUCACACUGGAACUGAGACACGGUCCAGACUCCUACGGGAGCAGCAGUGAGGAAUAUUGGGCAAUGCUCGAAAGAGUGACCCAGCAACGCCGCGUGGAGGAUGAAGGUAUUCUAUAUCGUAAACUCCUGUGAGAGCAGACGAAAGACAGAUUAUUAAUCUGGAUGACUGUAUGCUCAGAGGAAG